AGCAGCCGCGGUAAUUCCAGCUCCAAUAGCGUAUAUUAAAGUUGUUGCAGUUAAAAGCUCGUAGUUGAAUUUCGGGGUUAGCAGGUCGGUCGUGCCAUCGGUAUGAACUGGUCUCGCUGAUCCCUCCCUCUUGACGAACUGUGAUGCCAUUAAUUUGGUGUCGCAGGGAAUCAGGACUGUUACUUUGAAAAAUUGAGUGUUUAAAGCAGGCUCACGCUUGAAUACAUUAGCAUGGAAUAAUGAAAUAGGACGUUUGAUCCUAUUUUGUUGGCUUCUAGGAUUGACGUAAUGAUUAAUAGGGAUAGUUGGGGGCAUUAGUAUUCAAUUUGUCAGAGGUGAAAUUCUUGGAUUUAUUGAAGACUAACUACUGUGAAAGCAUUUGCCAAGGAUGUUUUCAUUAAUCAAGAACGAAGUUAGGGAUCGAAGACGAUCAGAUACCGUCGUAGUCUUAACCAUAAACUAUGCCGACUAGGGAUCGGAUGAUGUUAAUUUUUAAUGUACUUAC
This 505-nucleotide unclassified non-coding RNA is filed under the name uncultured Glomus. RNAcentral's name for it is "SSU rRNA". It matches the Rfam family "Eukaryotic small subunit ribosomal RNA", at positions 569 to 1079 of the family's 1831-position model. Lineage: Eukaryota; Fungi; Glomeromycota; Glomeromycetes; Glomerales; Glomeraceae. The record is from RNAcentral.